UCCUGUAUCCGAUCGCAUUCGCCUUAUCUGCAAUGUUUUAUCAUGAUAUAGCAAGGGUGAGCAUGAAAGUUGCCCAGCAAGUUUAAAUACAACAAUAUAAAGAUAUAUCAUGAUUGAAGAGUAUGAAUAAUAAGCUGGCUAUAAUUCAUCAAUAUAAUUGAGAACUAGCAGGAACAAACUUUUGACUGAACAAGUUUUAAACAUGAACAAACAUUUCUGAACCAACUGGUAAUGAAGGUGACCAGCCUUUCAUACCUGACUUAUACAUGCAAGAUGUACAGAGUACAAUUUUCAUGGCAAUCAGCAAUGAUUAA
RNAcentral lists this long non-coding RNA (314 nucleotides) under Panax ginseng (ginseng). Its description in RNAcentral is "long non-coding RNA (PGIN_LNC005682)". Lineage: Eukaryota; Viridiplantae; Streptophyta; Magnoliopsida; Apiales; Araliaceae. The record is from RNAcentral.